AACGCGAAAGUCCCGCAAGGGGCAAGUAGAGUGGCAAACGGGUGAGUAACACGUGGGUGACCUGCCUUCGAGUGGGGGAUAACGUCCCGAAAGGGACGCUAAUACCGCAUGACAUCCUGCGUUUGGAAACGCGGAGAUCAAAGCCGGGGAUCGCAAGACCUGGCGCUUGAAGAGGGGCCCGCGCCUGAUUAGCUAGUUGGUGGGGUAACGGCCUACCAAGGCAACGAUCAGUAUCCGGCCUGAGAGGGCGGACGGACACACUGGGACUGAGACACGGCCCAGACUCCUACGGGAGGCAGCAGUGGGGAAUUGUUCGCAAUGGGCGCAAGCCUGACGACGCAACGCCGCGUGGAGGACGAAGAUCUUCGGGUCGUAAACUCCUGUCGAGCGGGAAGAACGCUUCCCGGGUGAAUAAUCCGGGGAAUUGACGGUACCGCUAAAGGAAGCCCCGGCUAACUCCGUGCCAGCAGCCGCGGUAAUACGGGGGGGGCAAGCGUUGUUCGGAAUUACUGGGCGUAAAGGGCUCGUAGGCGGCCAACUAAGUCGGAUGUGAAAUCCCCAGGCUUAACCUGGGAACUGCAUCCGAUACUGGAUGGCUUGAAUCCGGGAGAGGGAUGCAGAAUUCCAGGUGUAGCGGUGAAAUGCGUAGAUAUCUGGAGGAAUACCGGUGGCGAAGGCGGCAUCCUGGACCGGCAUUGACGCUGAUGAGCGAAAGCUAGGGAACCAAACGGGAUUAGAUACCCCGGUAGUCCUAGCCCUUAAACGAUGAAUGCUUGGUGUGGCGGGUAUCGAUCCCUGCCGUGCCGAAGCUAACGCAUUAAGCAUUCCGCC
This 831-nucleotide ribosomal RNA is filed under the name uncultured Pseudomonadota bacterium. RNAcentral describes it as "bacterial SSU rRNA". It matches the Rfam family "Bacterial small subunit ribosomal RNA", at positions 65 to 873 of the family's 1533-position model. Lineage: Bacteria; Pseudomonadati; Pseudomonadota. The record is from RNAcentral.